RNAcentral lists this ribosomal RNA (253 nucleotides) under uncultured bacterium. RNAcentral describes it as "partial 16S ribosomal RNA". It matches the Rfam family "Bacterial small subunit ribosomal RNA", at positions 524 to 776 of the family's 1533-position model. The record is from RNAcentral.
UACAGAGGGGGCAAGCGUUGUUCGGAAUUACUGGGCGUAAAGGGCGCGUAGGCGGCCUUCUAAGUCGAACGUGAAAUCCCUGGGCUCAACCCAGGAACUGCGUCCGAUACUGGAAGGCUUGAAUCCGGGAGAGGGAUGCGGAAUUCCAGGUGUAGCGGUGAAAUGCGUAGAUAUCUGGAGGAACACCGGUGGCGAAGGCGGCAUCCUGGACCGGCAUUGACGCUGAGGCGCGAAAGCCAGGGGGGCAAACGGG